This is a long non-coding RNA of Episyrphus balteatus (marmalade hoverfly), 544 nucleotides long. RefSeq lists it as uncharacterized. Lineage: Eukaryota; Metazoa; Arthropoda; Insecta; Diptera; Syrphidae. The record is from RefSeq and is a predicted model, not a curated record. The transcript has 2 exons.
AAGAAGAUUAUUCCCAAAUCAUCAGAGGGUCAAUUCUCGUUCUGUGAAGCUGUGAAGAGAUAAAAAUAAUAUCAUUUCAGUUUUCACAGCGUUUUUUUCAUUUUAUCACUUCACAGGCACCCCUAAGGCGAUUCUCAAACUCAAUGUGAUAAAUCCUUGAAAAAGUUUGUUCUAAAAAGUACUAAAUAAUUAUAAUAAUAUGUCACUUUAAUUUAAUUUUUUAAUUUUCAAAAUGCGUUUUUUUUAUUUCAAAAUUUGUUUUCAUAAAAUGUCAAGAAAUUAUGAAAAAUAAUACCAUCUGUGGAUAAAAGAAAUGAAAAAAGUAAGAAGAAGACGACAAAAAUCAAACCAAGAAUUUAGCGCAUUGUUGGACUUGGACCUAUUCAUACAGCAUUGUAUUGCUUUUUUACGCGUACUUUUUACCAAUAUUAAGUAUUGGGUUGUACAAUUUAUGUAGCACCGUUGAUACGACGUUUUUAUUGCAUAUGUAUAAUUGAAACUAAUGUUAACAAACAUGUAUUUAAUAGCAUUGAUUAAAACUCAA